ACUGGAGAGAUACAUGGUCAAAUGUGGGAUGAGGGGACAUUUAGGACCUGCGUGCAAUGCUGUUGGGUAUGUUGAUAGAGAGGUCUGGGGGAUUAAUCAUCUGUAUCAAUCCCCUGUUUGGAGCCGCUUAAAGGCUUGCACUCUUAGUUCUCCAGUUUAUGAUGGCUGUACACAUCGAAACUCCAAUCCGGAACAUAGAGUGCAUAUGUUGUGAUCAUAUAGAUGAGAAAAGCAACAAACCCUCCAAUCCAUUGCCACUGGUAUGCCGUGAAAAU
This 275-nucleotide unclassified non-coding RNA is filed under the name Hevea brasiliensis (rubber tree). The record is from RNAcentral. Lineage: Eukaryota; Viridiplantae; Streptophyta; Magnoliopsida; Malpighiales; Euphorbiaceae.